This 482-nucleotide ribosomal RNA is filed under the name uncultured bacterium. Its description in RNAcentral is "bacterial SSU rRNA". It matches the Rfam family "Bacterial small subunit ribosomal RNA", at positions 30 to 506 of the family's 1533-position model. The record is from RNAcentral.
UUGAACGCUGGCGGAAUGCUUUACACAUGCAAGUCGAACGGCAGCACGGGGGCAACCUUGGUGGCGAGUGGCGAACGGGUGAGUAAUGUAUCGGAACGUACCCAGUCGUGGGGGAUAACUAUCCGAAAGGAUAGCUAAUACCGCAUACGUCCUGAGGGAGAAAGCGGGGGAUCGCAAGACCUCGCGCGAUUGGAGCGGCCGAUAUCGGAUUAGCUAGUUGGUGAGGUAAAGGCUCACCAAGGCGACGAUCCGUAGCGGGUCUGAGAGGACGACCCGCCACACUGGAACUGAGACACGGUCCAGACUCCUACGGGAGGCAGCAGUGGGGAAUUUUGGACAAUGGGGGAAACCCUGAUCCAGCCAUUCCGCGUGAGUGAAGAAGGCCUUCGGGUUGUAAAGCUCUUUCAGCCGGAAAGAAAUUGCUUCUAUUAAUACUAGGAGUAGAUGACGGUACCGGAAGAAGAAGCACCGGCUAACUACGU